RNAcentral lists this ribosomal RNA (516 nucleotides) under Cryptoses choloepi. Its description in RNAcentral is "partial 16S ribosomal RNA". The record is from RNAcentral. Lineage: Eukaryota; Metazoa; Arthropoda; Insecta; Lepidoptera; Pyralidae.
UGUCUAAUCUGCCCACUGAUAUAAUAUUAAAGGGGUGCAGUAUUUUGAGUGUACAAAGGUAGCAUAAUCAUUAGUCUUUUAAUUGAAGACUUGUAUGAAUGAUUGGAUGAAAUAUAAACUGUCUCUAAUAUUAUUAGUUAGAAUUUAAUUUUUUUAUUAAAAAGUAAAAAUAAAUUUAAAAGACGAGAAGACCCUAUAGAGUUUUAUAAUUAAUUUAAUUGAAAUUAUUUAUAAAGAUAAUUUUAAAUUAAUAAAUUAAAAUUAAGUUAAUUAUUUUGUUGGGGUGAUAAAAAAAUAAAAAUAACUUUUUUUAAUAAAUAUAUAUAUAUAUAUAUAUAUAUAUAUAUAUAUUGUAAACAAAAAUAAAUGAUUUUUUGAUCCAGAAUUUUUGAUUAUAAGAAAAAAUUACCUUAGGGAUAACAGCGUAAUUUUUUUUUUUAGUUCAAAUAAGAAAAAGAGUUUGCGACCUCGAUGUUGGAUUAAGGAAAAAUUUAAAUGCAAAAGUUUAAAAUUUUG